RNAcentral lists this ribosomal RNA (595 nucleotides) under uncultured Bacteroidota bacterium. Its description in RNAcentral is "bacterial SSU rRNA". It matches the Rfam family "Bacterial small subunit ribosomal RNA", at positions 122 to 715 of the family's 1533-position model. Lineage: Bacteria; Pseudomonadati; Bacteroidota. The record is from RNAcentral.
CAACCUGCCGUCUACUCUUGGACAGCCUUCUGAAAGGAAGAUUAAUACAAGAUGGCAUCAUGAGUUCACAUGUUCACAUGAUUAAAGGUAUUCCGGUAAACGAUGGGGAUGCGUUCCAUUAGAUAGUAGGCGGGGUAACGGCCCACCUAGUCUUCGAUGGAUAGGGGUUCUGAGAGGAAGGUCCCCCACAUUGGAACUGAGACACGGUCCAAACUCCUACGGGAGGCAGCAGUGAGGAAUAUUGGUCAAUGGGCGAUGGCCUGAACCAGCCAAGUAGCGUGAAGGAUGACUGCCCUAUGGGUUGUAAACUUCUUUUAUAAAGGAAUAAAGUCGGGUAUGCAUACCCGUUUGCAUGUACUUUAUGAAUAAGGAUCGGAUAACUCCGUGCCAGCAGCCGCGGUAAUACGGAGGAUCCGAGCGUUAUCCGGAUUUAUUGGGUUUAAAGGGAGCGUAGAUGGAUGUUUAAGUCAGUUGUGAAAGUUUGCGGCUCAACCGUAAAAUUGCAGUUGAUACUGGAUGUCUUGAGUGCAGUUGAGGCAGGCGGAAUUCGUGGUGUAGCGGUGAAAUGCUUAGAUAUCACGAAGAACUCCGAUUG